AGCGUCAUGGAUGGGUCAGGCAGUUUCUGAUGUAAAUGCAUCCUGAUCUAUUGAUGGCUUUGAAGAUCAAGAUAGGGGCCUUGAAUUGGCAUUCAGAGAGUGUGGAGAACAGACAUGAGAUGCUCUGAGAGGCUCAACCUGCUGAGGAAUGCAAUGAGAAUAGCCUGCUGGAAGCAUCAAGGCCCAGUAAACAGCAAACUUUGAAAACAAUAGCCUUUGCUGGUAAAUUUCCCUGGCCUUCCAUCAGAAAACACCAGAGGGCAGUGUGGAGAAUCUAUCUCCCCUUGGAGGAUCCUGCUACAGAUGGAAGCUUGUAGUACCAACUACCGAAGCAGCCAAAGCAAAGACAGCAGCAGGGGGUAGGAGGGACAGAGCAAAAUGGGGCCCAGCCAGGGCCACCCAUCCCCACAGUACCCCCGACCCAGAAUUGUGAAGGGGAGACCUCACACACACACACUCGGGGGGCUCUAGGACCCAGAUAGUGCCCCCCCACCAGAUACACACCCCUAGAGAAAAACCUGCAGAGAGGAGCCAGCCAAAGACUCCAGCCAUCAGGAACAGAAGCAACCAAAACUGGGACCUUAGGACGUUGAGAACUUUCUACAGUUUUGACUGGACUUUCUCUGCCCUGUGCUGAUUGGCUGUUUGCUCCAACCCUCCCCCUGCCUCUCCCUCAGUGUCUUCACCUUAGCUUCUUCACUCCAUACCUGUCCCUGUUAGCUGAAAGGGUGAGGAUGGCAGCUCGUGUAGAAAUACCUGUGCUAGCUGUACUCUAGCUAGAUUGCUAAAAAUAGAAGCAAGGGUGCUGUGCUGCAGCUUUCAGCUGUACAAACCCACCUGAAACCCCUGGCUACAUAAUUGCUUGUAUGUAGCGAGAGUAUAUCCAGUGCAGGUAUGUCUACACAAGUAGCCCAUUCACACACCCCUGGCUGAAACGUAAACAUACCCUUACUCUCUUUUCCCUGCCCUGUUCCUGCCAUCUCUUAUCCCUCUUCCCUUCAAUGUGCCCUCUCCCUUCCCUUUUCGUCCCAUUUAGUUAAUCCCCUUUUAACCAAACCGACCAAACAAAAAAAUUGUGGCAUUAACAUGCCAUUUGCUGCUAUCACAUUGUUCACUCUGCUUGUGAGUUCUACCCUUUCCCACCCCUGCAUCUGUCUUGUCUGUUUAGAUUGUAAGCUCUUCAGGUCAGGGAGCAUCUAUUGCUCUGUGUCUGUACAGUGCCUAGCACAAUGGGCCCCAUUCUUGGUUGAUCCUUAUGUACUGCUGUAAUUAAUAUGAUUAAAAAUAAUAGUAAUAGCUUAGCUCUUCACAGCAUAUUCACUGGUGCUCAGCAUAAAGGAGAGUCAUUUAAUUCCUCACAUUCAGUGAAUGCCAGACAAUGACAAAAGCAGCUUUUUUGCCCGUGUGGGGGAUACACAAUAUGUGUGCUAUGGAAUAUUGUCAGCAUUUUAGUGUGCACCAGUGUUCACAUAAACUCACUGACCUUAAAGCUUUCCCACAGUCAGUGGAUUGAGCCAGACAUAGAACUGUUCUUUCAAUCAGAAAUCCCAGAUGCAUUGCCUAUGAUAUCCUUUUCUGACAUCAACAGGAUUUGUAGCACAACUCUGCACACUGAAAAUGCUGGCAUGAUGAACAAACUAUACAAAGGUAAUAUACCACAGUUAUUCCAUCUGUAAUUAUACAGGAUUUAUGCUUAGGCAGCAACAUUAUUUCAGACUACUGAAAAAACAUACAUGGUUAAUAAGAAGAUGGGCUAGGUAGGAAAUUUCACUACAUGGCCUUUUAAAAAAAAUAGCUUUUUGUUACCAUGCAACCUGCUCCCCAUGGAUCAGAUCCGCACCUUUUCCUAUGCCUGAAAGAGCUGGUAAAAGUGGGGUUUAUUGUAUUUUGUGGUUGCAAAUGGAAGAACCUGCAGAACAAAGACUAUUAUUAACUACCAUCUGCUGAAAGGAGACUGCAGCUGUUUUGAGGUUUUCCUGCAAGCUAUGCAGAUCUGCUCAGAAUUUUAAUAGUUGUUUACCAACUGAAGUGUGCCAUUGAAAGAGCAAGAUGUUUCCAAGCAAACAAGGUGUGAACGUCACUUCAGACUGGAAAUAAACCCCUUCUCUCUGGGAAUGUUUUUCUGAUUGAGCUCACAGAUUUUUGAUUGACUGUUUCAGACUUCAGGCUGCUUCCUUUAACUCAUUACCUCCCAUAUCAGAAGCAUGAGGUCAGUAAUGUUCCCAAAGAAUACAGUGUAUUUUUAAACAGACUAGCAGCUUUUUAAGGGAAAAAGAUCUCUCUCUACAGUCCUAUAAUAAAUGAUAGAAAGAAAAAGGGCAGCCACACUAAAACCACACAGCUCUGGUAUCCAGCUGAAGAAUUAGUCAUAUAAUAACAAUUUAUGUUAAAAGUGCUUUACAGGCUCUGAACAAAAAUACAGCAGUUUGAAACUACAGAAGCAUAAAGGACCCUGCCAUCUGAUCUGAAUUCAAAGAUGAAAUGUGAAGACCCAUGGUGUGGAAGCAGUGCACAGUUGCCGAAGUCGCUCAGAUCGCUUCCCAGAAAGCGAGGGACUUGAGGAGACAAUCAUCCAGGAAAGGAAAAAUGAGGACCCCAUUCUUUCUGAGAUGUGCUGUUAUGACUACUAGUACUUUUGAGAAGACGCGUGGGGCAGUGGAAAGGCCAAAGGGCAGGACCCUGUAUUGAUAGUAUUCCACUCCCACAGCAAAUCUGAGAAAACAUUGAUGGGCAGGGUGGAUAGUGACAUGGAAAUAUGCAUCUUGGAGGUCGAGGGUUGAAAACCAAUCUCCUUGGUCCAGCAUCGGAAUUCUCAUUGGGAGAGUAACCAUCCAGAA
This is a long non-coding RNA of Malaclemys terrapin pileata, 2837 nucleotides long. RefSeq lists it as uncharacterized. The record is from RefSeq and is a predicted model, not a curated record. Lineage: Eukaryota; Metazoa; Chordata; Testudines; Emydidae. The transcript is spliced from 3 exons.